This 4796-nucleotide long non-coding RNA is filed under the name Homo sapiens (human). Its description in RNAcentral is "non-protein coding lnc-VPS26C-2:1". Lineage: Eukaryota; Metazoa; Chordata; Mammalia; Primates; Hominidae. The record is from RNAcentral.
AGUGAAGGUCUGGCGCUGUCUACGGCCCCCCAGGCCCCGGCUCCCGGGAGGCCGCGGCCCCCGCUCCCACCCUCCGCAACUUUCCCUCCGCUCGCGCCCGCCGCUCCUCCGGGACCCGGCCUGAGGCUCCCUCCCCCGGCGGCCGGCCCUGGGCCCGCGGCGCCUCCUCCUAAAAUGGCAGGUCCCUCCCUCCGCCCGGCCGGCCUCGGCUCCGGCCCGGCUGCGGGCCGCCGGGGGAGCCGAGCGCCAGGCCGGGCGGGGCCGCGGCCGGGCCGGACACUCACCGGGACGAUGGCGGGGCGCUCGCGCCGCUUCCUCCGGUGAGUCUCAGCCUCGGGCUCCCGCGCCGCGCUCCCGCCGCGGCCUCCGCAGCCAGCGCCGCCCCGGCAGCCUCUCUCCGCCCCCGGCGCUCCGGCUCCUGGCCGCGCCGCAGCCUGCUCAGUCUCUCCUCGGCUCGCGGUUCCAGCGGCGCCCGGGGCCGGGGAGGCGACAGCCCCCUCCCCGGCAAAUACCGCAGUCCCCGGGCCCCGAUUCCAGGCGGCGGGGCCGCACGGCCGGCCCGGCGCAGAGGGCGGCGUCGGCGAGGCCGGGCGCCGAGCGGCGGCUGCUGCCGGCGGCUUCUUCCCGAGGAGGAUUUUGUAAAUCUCACAAAAUGGCGCGCGCUCCGAACCUGCGCAGCGAGAAGCGCCGGGGCCCGGGCGGCGGCGGCGGCUCCUCCGCCAGGAGAGCCCGAACCGCCCGCCCCCGAGUCCCCGCACAGACAGACAGACACUCGCACACACCCGCACACUCGCGCGCACAAUCGCCCUCGCACACGCUCCCUCGCACACACACUCGCACUCACACCGGUCCCGCCUGCUCGCCGGCGGCGGCAGCGGCACCAACAGCAGCAGCAGGAACAGCAGCAGCAGAAGCGGCGGCGGCGGCGCCCGCACCCCCCGCUCGGGGUGUCCGCUCUCUGAGGCCGACCUGGGCCGCGAUCAGCAGCAGCGACAGCAGCAGUCUCCCCGGAUACCCCCGCCGCGGUUGCCGCCGCCACCCCCGCCUCACUCCAAUGGGGCUUUUUAUUAUUAUUCGGGCGGGAAGCGAAAGGGUUUAAAAAAAAACCAACCAACAAAAUGGCGACGGACCGACCCGGUCGCUAUAGCAACUGUCAAUCAAAACGCAAAACCCCGGCUGACGUGCUGACGUCCUCCUCCCGCCCCCCAGCCCCGAGCCGGCGGGCGGGGCCUGUUGCUCAGGUAACGGCAGAUUCCGUUCCCUCCUUUCCGUCUCCCCCUCUGUCCCCAGCCAACCACCCAACCCCCUCAGGUCACGUGAAGGAUAAAUUCGGAGCUCGGGUCCGCUACGAGUGUCAGAGGAGGGCGCGUGAUUCGCCCGGGGGAGGGGAGAGGAGGGGGACGGCUAGGCCGAGGGAGGGUAGGGGCUGGGGAAGGGGGGGCGAGGCGGCGGCCAGGCCUGUGCGCGAUCGCCCGCCGCCUCCCGGCCGCCCCGCCCCGCCCCGCGCCCGCGCCGACUGCGGCCCGGGGAGCGCGCGCGGCCUCCCGCGCCGCCGCCCCCGCAGCCCUAGCGCCCCGCGCUUCCGCGUCGGCGCCCGCAGCCCCGCCCGCGCCGGGGGGAGGGGCGGGCUGCCCCGGGCGGGGGAGGGGGAGGAGGAGGGGCGCCGCGGCCUUCGGGCGGGGACCCGGGAAGCCCACCCCGCGCGCCCGGGCCUGGAGGGCUCUCACCGCGGUCCGGGCGCCGCGCUCGCCUCUCUCCCCGGGAAGCGCGGCGGCCGCGACCGUCCGCGCGUGGAGCCGGUUCUUCGAAGGGCUGGCGGGCCUCCUAGCCGGAAAAUGCCGGCGGAGGCCGUGGUGGGGGCGGGGAGGAGCCACCGCCGCGCCCCAGACAUCGCAGGAAUUCCGGACGCUGCGCCGGGCCCGGCGGCCCUGAGGCUGGCACCUGGCUCCGGUCGGGCCGCCCAGGUUUUGUGGCGCCCGAGACCAGCGUUGGGAAAUUAGGCUGGAGCCAUCAUGAAAACUUUUUCAGGCAGUGCACGCUCGCCUGUGCCUGCCCAUCUGCUUCCAACCUCUCCCCACCUUUCGGGGCGCAGCCUGCCUGCUCCAUCGGAAUGCCCUUUAGAUGAAUCCCCUUGUGCUGUUACUGUGUCCUUGUCGUCCAGCUCUCUGGUUUUCUUUUCUAUACACCUUCUCGGUUUCCAGAGUCUUAAUUCGCCUGCUUGUCCUUAACCAUCAAAACUCUUUAUUAAUAUCCUGGCUUUCGCUGAUUUUUAUUCUCCCUACCCCUUCUCCCUAGCUAUGUAUUGCUGGGUGAGCUCCCGAGGCUUGAAAACCCAAGUAUGCUGUGCUGGCUGCGUUGUAAUCGGUAGAGAGCCACCAGCUAAAAAUUGUAUUUUGUACCAACUCUAAUGGCAUUUAAUAAAUGUAUACCUAAAAAGAGUGUGUGUGUAUAUAUAUACUAUUUUACAGCAGAGUCACUAAUUGAUUUCUAAGCUUGAUUUUGCCACCUUGUGAUAGUGUUCGUAACCAAUUUUUUUCAUAAAUUUCACAAAUGUGACAACAGAUAAAAUCUUAUAAACAAUAUUAGAUGUAAAAAACUCGCAGUAAAUGCCGCUGUCUAUGCUACAUGACUCAAAUACACCUGCUUUAAAUGAUUUCCAGCAAAAAUGUCCUUGCUACAGUUACUAGGACAUUGAUAUACUAAGGUAACCAUUCAGAUUAGCACAGACUUUGAAAGAAAUCCGACUAAACCGAAAAUAAAUUAGUCAAAAAGUAAUUACUAAGGUAACCAUUCAGAUUAGCACAGACUUGGAAGAAACCUGACUAAACCGAAAAUAAAUUGGUCAAAAAGUGGUCGGGCAAAUAGCUUGCUUUCAGGCUGAUCUCCAUGAUAUAAAAAAGUUGCCGUAGCUGGCAAAAGUUCUUUCGGAUUAUUGUUUCAAAAUUGCCCUGCUAGUGUGAUUAAGGUCCACGGUCAACUUAAUUGUUUUGAAGAAAGAGGAAGUGGCCCAGAGCGCCCCUUAUUCAGAGGAGAGGUCCCUACCUGGUUCCUCCCAAGCUCAAGCUUCCACCUAUACAACCAACUUCUUCCUCUCUGCUUGUGGGUCUCCUUCCUGCCCCCACCCCAUCCCACCCCAUUCACCAAGCUUUCGCUUCUAUCAGAGCACAUCAGCAUUUGCAACCUUUAAUACUAAAUUAAAUUUGACUCAAAUUUUUAUUCCUGGUAAUGGAAGAAACUUGUAUAGUUAAUCUUCCAGGUAACCUGAACAGAAUAUGAUAAUGUCUCAAGAUAUGUGUCCUUGUCUUCAGUUCAAAUCAACCUAGAAGAUAUCGGAGUGGGGCAGAAUCUUGAGAUUAUAAACAUGCGGGUAUAGAAGGCAUUGCUGGUCUUCGUAUCUAGAAGGCUGCACCCCUUUUCUCCCCAGUGUGACAGCCUUAGACAACAUUGGUCAAUGAAUGUCAUAUCCAGGUUGGAAUGCUGUAAAAUGGUUUUAUACAGGCUUCACCUAAAAACGUAACCUGUGAAUUACAGCUGGCUCCAAACAAGUGACCACAUGUAGGCCGGAAGGACUCUGGUAUAGAUGCCAGCUGACCUGGUUCACAGAUGAAAUCCUUGUCAUCUAAGAAUCUUCCCAUUAGAUUCACUUACAGAUGUGUUUAUUCAUAGACUGUUCACCUUGAAAAGCAAAGGCCCUCAGCUCAUAGGUAGUAACAGCCUCCACUUACCCAGCAUGUUCUAGAGUAUCUCUAAUCCUCACAGCAACAUUACAUCCCCAUUAUGUGGAUGAGAAAACAAGUCCUGAGUGAUUACAUGACUUUCUCAAGGCAGUCACCACUCACCAGUAAGUGGUGAAGCCAGGAUUCAAACACAGGUAUAAUUGCAAAGCCCAUGUUCUUUCUACCACACCAAGAUGAUUCAAGAUUAUAUGGAGUUAGAGUCUUCACAGAGGUAAUCGAGUUGGGUCUCUAGAUUGAACCCUAAUCCAAAAUGACUGCUGCCCUUAUAAAAAGGAGAAAUUUGGACCAAGACAAACGAACACAGGGAAGAACGUACAGACACCAGGAGAAGGUGGCCAUCUACAAACCAAGGCACACCUGAGGCUACCAGAAGCUGACAAAGAAGCAUGGAACAGAUUUUGUCUUACGGCCAUCAGAGGGAACCAACCCUGCCAACAUCUUGAUUUUGGACUUCUGGCCUCCAGAAAUUCAAGACAGUACAUUUCUGUUGUUUAAGCCACCUAGUUGUUUGUACUUUGUAGUGGCACUAAGGGAAACUAACACACAGAUGCGUGCCAAGAUGGUGGUUUCUUUUGGUUGGCUUCAUAUCCGUUAGUGACCACUCCUGGUGAGGCACUAUUCUAAGCCUGAAAGUCCAGUAGUUGGAAUCUCGCUGAGAGUUAUAACCCAAAUAAAUAUUCCAAGGACAAACAAGCAAACCAGUAUUCCUAUCAAUGCUCCUCACGCCAAGCGAGAAGGUGAACAAUUUGCAUUUGGUCCCUAGACAGUGGCAUGGCGUGGCAUCUGACACCCCUACUGUUCUUACAGACUUCUGGGUAAAAGUCUUCACUUGCUGCCCUUGUACAAACUUUAUUGUUCGUUCGUUCUUUCUUUUUUUUUUUUUUUGAGACAGAGUCUCGCUCUGUCACCCAGGCUGGAGUGCAGGGGUGUGAUCUCGGCUCACUGCAACCUCCACCUCCCCAGUUCAAGCGAUUCUCCUGCCUCAACCUCCUGAGUAUCUGGGAUUACAGGUGCCCGCCACCACACCUGGCAAAUUUUUGUAUUUUUAGUAGAGAAAAG